This 439-nucleotide ribosomal RNA is filed under the name uncultured bacterium. Its description in RNAcentral is "partial 16S ribosomal RNA". It matches the Rfam family "Bacterial small subunit ribosomal RNA", at positions 338 to 795 of the family's 1533-position model. The record is from RNAcentral.
CCUAGGGGUGCUGCAGUGAGGAAUAUUGCACAAUGGGGGGAACCCUGAUGCAGCAACGCCGCGUGGAGGAUGACGCAUUUCGGUGUGUAAACUCCUUUUAUAUGUCAAGAAAAUGACGGUAGCAUAUGAAUAAGCACCGGCUAACUCCGUGCCAGCAGCCGCGGUAAUACGGAGGGUGCAAGCGUUACUCGGAAUCACUGGGCGUAAAGGACGCGUAGGCGGGUUGGAAAGUCAGGUGUGAAAUCCUACAGCUUAACUGUAGAACUGCACUUGAAACUUCUAAUCUAGAGUAUGGGAGGGGGAGAUGGAAUUAGUGGUGUAGGGGUAAAAUCCGUAGAUAUCACUAGGAAUACCUAAAGCGAAGGCGAUCUCCUGGAACAUUACUGACGCUAAGGCGUGAAAGCGUGGGGAGCAAACAGGAUUAGAUACCCUAGUAGUC